Molecule: long non-coding RNA, 1069 nt
Organism: Cyprinus carpio (common carp)
Lineage: Eukaryota; Metazoa; Chordata; Actinopteri; Cypriniformes; Cyprinidae
Exons: 3
Source: RefSeq, a predicted model, not a curated record
CAGAGACAAUCUUCUGAAAUGGACAAAGCUGAACAAGAUGCCAGUUCUUUUGAGCUAGCAGAUCUUGAUGCUCCAAACAACCAGACUGCUGACCAAAUACGCAGAUCUGAACGGUUGAGAAAGCCACCUGUUAAGUUUACUUAUCCACAGCUUGGUAAACCUUUGAUUUCAUUUGCACAAACUAUAUUAGAUGGGUUUAACAAAGUUUUGGUUGAAACAUUUGAAGGUGCUCCUGUCCUUGCACGAACAUGAAGGGACUCAUGUUAAUUAAGAGGAGGAGGAUGUAACCCGCCUAAAAAAACGGGUUAACCAGUUAAUUGUAUUUAAUUAUUAUCAUUAUUUGCUCAUACUUUACGUUAUGAGUAAUGGGGCUUUUAUUUUGAAAAAUACAUUUUAUUUUGCGGGAAACCGGAAGUAGCACAUUAAAAUAUUUCCGUUCGCAUAACACCGCUAAAAUCAGAUGGAGCGCUGCUUCGGGUUCUCCCACGAGUUGAGAAAACAAACCGUGAAGAAAAGAAGUUCGAGAGCCAUCCAGAAAUCAUUUUUAUCUGUCCUGGCUUCUUAUAUUGAAAAUCCUCUCUUGGUCAGGUCUUUUUAUGAAGCGAGCAGAAGUUCCAGAAGCUCCAGUCCUUGAAUCAUAUCAGGUGAACCAUUGAUCCAUAGAUGGCGAGCCUUCCCAAUGAGCCGUGAACCUCUACCACAGCAUUCCGGAAGCCUGUGGUAGGAUUGUGUCAGUUCACCGAACCGGCACCAACGAGAUUUUCCCUUUCGAGUAUUUACCCUUGACUUAGAUUUUUCCCUUUUUACUUACUGACUUGAACUCUGGAUUGAACUCUGGAAUUCCUAAGGACGAUUUCCAAGGAACAUUUUCAAGAAGGACAUUUUAUUUUAUUUUAUUCAAAAUUUAUUUUGGGCCCAUAGGUGGUGUGUACACAAUUGUUGUGAAGUGUUGAAAUAUUUUGUUGAACUAAAGGGUUACACAUUUCAAAACGUUACACUGGUGUUGCUUGGUUAUUACUGUACUUCUCAGCUCCUACGAACCUAGGGUGUACAUCCUCAGAAGUGGGUU